UACAGAGGGCUCAAGCGUUAAUCGGAAUCACUGGGCUUAAAGGGUCCGCAGGCGGACGAGCAAGUAUCUUGUGAAAUACCAUGGCUCAACCAUGGAAUUGCUCGGUAAACUGCUUGUCUUGAACGCGGUAGGGGCCAUCGGAACUCUAGGUGGAGCGGUGAAAUGCGUAGAUAUCUAGAGGAACGCCAGAGGCGAAGGCGGAUGGCUGGGCCGUUGUUGACGCUCAGGGACGAAAGCGUGGGUAGCAAACGGG
Molecule: ribosomal RNA, 253 nt
Filed under: uncultured bacterium
Lineage: Bacteria
Description: partial 16S ribosomal RNA
Rfam family: Bacterial small subunit ribosomal RNA
Source: RNAcentral